GCUUCCAUGGUGAAAUGGUAGACACAGUAGAUUCAAAAUCUUCCUUUUGCAGGUUCGAGUCCUGCUGGAAGCA
This 73-nucleotide transfer RNA is filed under the name Ancyromonas sigmoides. RNAcentral describes it as "tRNA-Leu". It matches the Rfam family "tRNA". Rfam says of the family: Transfer RNA (tRNA) molecules are approximately 80 nucleotides in length. Their secondary structure includes four short double-helical elements and three loops (D, anti-codon, and T loops). Further hydrogen bonds mediate the characteristic L-shaped molecular structure. tRNAs have two regions of fundamental functional importance: the anti-codon, which is responsible for specific mRNA codon recognition, and the 3' end, to which the tRNAs corresponding amino acid is attached (by aminoacyl-tRNA synthetases). tRNAs cope with the degeneracy of the genetic code in two manners: having more than one tRNA (with a specific anti-codon) for a particular amino acid; and 'wobble' base-pairing, i.e. permitting non-standard base-pairing at the 3rd anti-codon position. Lineage: Eukaryota; Ancyromonadida; Ancyromonadidae. The record is from RNAcentral.